UACAGAGGUCUCAAGCGUUGUUCGGAUUCAUUGGGCGUAAAGCGCACGUAGGCGGCUAUUCAAGUCAGAGGUGAAAGCCCGGGGCUCAACCCCGGAACUGCCUUUGAAACUAGAUAGCUAGAAUCUUGGAGAGGCGAGUGGAAUUCCGAGUGUAGAGGUGAAAUUCGUAGAUAUUCGGAAGAACACCAGUGGCGAAGGCGACUCGCUGGACAAGUAUUGACGCUGAGGUGCGAAAGCGUGGGGAGCAAACAGG
This 253-nucleotide ribosomal RNA is filed under the name uncultured bacterium. RNAcentral describes it as "partial 16S ribosomal RNA". It matches the Rfam family "Bacterial small subunit ribosomal RNA", at positions 524 to 776 of the family's 1533-position model. The record is from RNAcentral.